GACGUAGGGCGCGAGCGUUUGUCCGGAUUUAUUGGGCGUAAAGAGCUCGUAGGCGGCUUGUCGCGUCGACUGUGAAAACCCGCGGCUCAACUGCGGGCUUGCAGCCGAUACGGGCAGGCUAGAGUUCGGUAGGGGGAGACUGGAAUUCCAGGUGUAGCGGUGAAAUGCGUAGAUAUCUGGAGGAACACCGGUGGCGAAGGCGGCAUUCUGGACCGACAUUGACGCUGAGGAGCGAAAGCCAGGGGGAGCAAACGGG
RNAcentral lists this ribosomal RNA (256 nucleotides) under uncultured bacterium. Its description in RNAcentral is "partial 16S ribosomal RNA". It matches the Rfam family "Bacterial small subunit ribosomal RNA", at positions 524 to 776 of the family's 1533-position model. The record is from RNAcentral.